RNAcentral lists this ribosomal RNA (255 nucleotides) under uncultured bacterium. Its description in RNAcentral is "partial 16S ribosomal RNA". It matches the Rfam family "Bacterial small subunit ribosomal RNA", at positions 524 to 776 of the family's 1533-position model. The record is from RNAcentral.
GACGUAGGUGGCGAACGUUAUCCGGAAUUAUUGGGCGUAAAGGGUGCGUAGAUGGUGUAGCAAGUUAUCGGUGGCAAAUCGAGGCUCAACCUCGUGGAAGUCGGUAAUACUGCUAUGCUAGAGGAUAGGAGAGGUUAACGGAACUCCCUGUGGAGCGGUGAAAUGCGUAGAUAUAGGGAAGAACACCAAUCAGGCGAAGGCAGUUAACUAUUCUACUCCUGGCAUUGAGGCAUGAAAGCAUGGGGAGCAAAACGG